GGGGGUGAAAGGCUUCGACUCGGGUAAGCAAGGCAAAGGGAGCAUGUAGAGGUUGUCAGGAGGCCUCUCAAAACACCUGGCAAAUAUCAAACGCUGAAAACCUAAAAGUUCCAGCGACAGUGGAUGAGCUCCUUGCGUCCAUGCAAGUGGUCAAAGGGGUAACUCCGCUGGCAAGCGUCGCUUUACAUUAAGCGACCCGUCUCUCAGCUGAUCCUGCGGGGCUGAAAAGACGUCGAUAGCAGGAUGGUCCGUUCCGUUUAGCCUUGAGCGGACCGGAUGAGACUGAUCAAGGAUACGCUCCUGAAAUUCCGCCUCUUGAAGUUCAGGGGAGGAGACUAAAGAUAAGGCUAAACAUGUAGAGCCUUUUGUUUUGAUGUCCGAGGACGCGGGUUCGACUCCCGCCACCUCCACCA
This 413-nucleotide transfer-messenger RNA is filed under the name Candidatus Omnitrophota bacterium. RNAcentral describes it as "Candidatus Omnitrophica bacterium transfer-messenger RNA". It matches the Rfam family "transfer-messenger RNA". Rfam says of the family: Bacterial tmRNA, also known as 10Sa RNA or SsrA, is named for its dual tRNA and mRNA-like properties. Lineage: Bacteria; Pseudomonadati; Candidatus Omnitrophota. The record is from RNAcentral.